UAAUACGGGGGGGGCAAGCGUUGUUCGGAUUUACUGGGCGUAAAGGGCGCGUAGGCGGUUUGUUUAGUCGAAUGUGAAAACUCCGGGCUCAACCCGGAGCCUGCAUCCGAUACUGGCAGACUAGAGUGCGAGAGGGGAAAGCGGAAUUCCUGGUGUAGCGGUGAAAUGCGUAGAUAUCAGGAGGAACACCGGCGGCGAAGGCGGCUUUCUGGAUCGCAACUGACGCUGAGGCGCGAAAGCUAGGGGAGCAAACAGGAUUAGAUACCCUGGUAGUCCUAGCCCUAAACGAUGGAUACUUGGUGUGGGAGGGUUUGAUUCUCCCGUGCCGGAGCUAACGCGUUAAGUAUCCCGCCUGGGGAGUACGGUCGCAAGGCUG
Molecule: ribosomal RNA, 376 nt
Filed under: uncultured Acidobacteriota bacterium
Lineage: Bacteria; Pseudomonadati; Acidobacteriota
Description: bacterial SSU rRNA
Rfam family: Bacterial small subunit ribosomal RNA
Source: RNAcentral